Molecule: ribosomal RNA, 408 nt
Filed under: uncultured bacterium
Lineage: Bacteria
Description: partial 16S ribosomal RNA
Rfam family: Bacterial small subunit ribosomal RNA
Source: RNAcentral
AGUGAACGCUGGCGGCGUGCCUAAUACAUGCAAGUCGAACAAAGUUGCGCACGGGUGAGUAAUAUCUCGUUCCUCUGCACUACACAGAGGAACAACAGUUGGAAACGACUGCUAAUACCUCAUAGUGUAGGAUGAGACAAUAUCGUAUCAGCUAGUUGGUAAGGUAAUGGCAUACCAAUGCUAUGACGCGUAACUGGUCUGAGAGGAUGAUCAGUCACAGUGGAACUGAGACACGGGACAAACUCCUACGGGGGGCAGCAGUAAGGAAGAUGGCGCAAUGGGGGAAACCCAGCCGCAGCAACGCCGCAUGGAGGAGGAAACUUUUCGGAGCGUAAACUCCUUUUAUCAGGAAAGCGGUACCUAAUGAAUAAGCACCGGCUAACUCCGUGCCAGCAGCCGCGGUAAUUC